UACAGAGGUCUCGAGCGUUAGGCGGAAUCACUGGGCUUAAAGCGUGUGUAGGUGGAUCGUUAAGUACCUUGUGAAAUCCCACGGCUUAACCGUGGAACUGCUUGGUAUACUGGCGGUCUUGAGCCAGCUAGGGGCUACCGGAACAAGCGGUGGAGCGGUGAAAUGCGUAGAUAUCGCUUGGAACGCCGAAGGUGAAAACAGACUGCUGGGGUUGCGCCGACGCUGAGACACGAAAGCCAGGGGAGCAAACGGG
This 253-nucleotide ribosomal RNA is filed under the name uncultured bacterium. Its description in RNAcentral is "partial 16S ribosomal RNA". It matches the Rfam family "Bacterial small subunit ribosomal RNA", at positions 524 to 776 of the family's 1533-position model. The record is from RNAcentral.